RNAcentral lists this unclassified non-coding RNA (757 nucleotides) under soil metagenome. Its description in RNAcentral is "partial contains internal transcribed spacer 1, 5.8S ribosomal RNA, and internal transcribed spacer 2". The stretch from base 161 to 314 matches the Rfam family "5.8S ribosomal RNA". The record is from RNAcentral.
CUGAAGAUUUGGUCGCAAGACCGCUCUUCCACCCUUUGUUUACCAUACCAUGUUGCUUUGGCGAGUCGCCCUAGGCCACCGGCUUCGGCUGGUGCGUGCUCGCCAGAGACCUCAAACAACCUGAUUUUCGUGUUUGUCUGAACAACUUUUAAAUUAUUAAAACCUUCAACAAUGGGUCUCUUGGCUCUGGCAUCGAUGAAGAACGCAGCGAAAUGCGAUACGUAAUGUGAAUUGCAGAGCUCAGUGAAUCAUCGAAUCUUUGAACGCACAUUGCGCCCCUUGGUAUUCCGAGGGGCAUGCCUGUUCGAGCGUCAUUAUCACCCCUCAAGCCUAGCUUGGUGUUGGGGCCCGCCCGUCAGGGCAGCCCUUAAAAUCAGUGGCGGCGCCGUCAGGCUCUAAGCGUAGUAAUACUUCUCGCUAUAGAGCCCUGGCGGUCUCUUGCCAAAACCCCUAAUUUUUUAUGAUUGACCUCGGAUCAGGUAGGGUUACCCGCUGAACUUAAGCAUAUCAAUAAGCGGAGGAAUCGCGAUCUUGGUCAUUUAGAGGAAGUAAAAGUCGUAACAAGGUUUCCGUAGGUGAACCUGCGGAAGGAUCAUUAACGAGUUUUAAUUGUUAGGUUAGAGUUGAGCUGGUUAAUCUAAUUAAUAUGUGCUUACUCUAAUCGAAACAAGUCCACUCAUUACUUAACACUUGUGAACUUAUUCAUUACAAACAUUAUUAUUUGUUAUUGGAACGUUUGAUUAUUAAAAAGCUAAUA